This 1341-nucleotide ribosomal RNA is filed under the name uncultured bacterium. Its description in RNAcentral is "16S ribosomal RNA". It matches the Rfam family "Bacterial small subunit ribosomal RNA", at positions 28 to 1381 of the family's 1533-position model. The record is from RNAcentral.
GACGAACGCUGGCGGCGUGCUUAACACAUGCAAGUCGAACGGUAAGGCUCCAGUUUGCUGGGGUACACGAGUGGCGAACGGGUGAGUAACACGUGGGUGACCUGCCCUGCACUUCGGGAUAAGCCUGGGAAACUGGGUCUAAUACCGGAUAGGACCGCACCGUGAGGGUGUGGUGGAAAGUUUUUUCGGUGUGGGAUGGGCCCGCGGCCUAUCAGCUUGUUGGUGGGGUAAUGGCCUACCAAGGCGGCGACGGGUAGCCGGCCUGAGAGGGUGGACGGCCACAUUGGGACUGAGACACGGCCCAGACUCCUACGGGAGGCAGCAGUGGGGAAUAUUGCACAAUGGGCGGAAGCCUGAUGCAGCGACGCCGCGUGGGGGAUGACGGCCUUCGGGUUGUAAACUCCUUUCACCAUCGACGAAGGGUUUCUGACGGUAGAUGGAGAAGAAGCACCGGCUAACUACGUGCCAGCAGCCGCGGUAAUACGUAGGGUGCGAGCGUUGUCCGGAAUUACUGGGCGUAAAGAGCUCGUAGGUGGUUUGUCGCGUCGUCUGUGAAAUUCCGGGGCUUAACUCCGGGCGUGCAGGCGAUACGGGCAUAACUUGAGUACUGUAGGGGAGACUGGAAUUCCUGGUGUAGCGGUGAAAUGCGCAGAUAUCAGGAGGAACACCGGUGGCGAAGGCGGGUCUCUGGGCAGUAACUGACGCUGAGGAGCGAAAGCAUGGGGAGCGAACAGGAUUAGAUACCCUGGUAGUCCAUGCCGUAAACGGUGGGCGCUAGGUGUGGGUUUCCUUCCACGGGAUCCGUGCCGUAGCUAACGCAUUAAGCGCCCCGCCUGGGGAGUACGGCCGCAAGGCUAAAACUCAAAGGAAUUGACGGGGGCCCGCACAAGCGGCGGAGCAUGUGGAUUAAUUCGAUGCAACGCGAAGAACCUUACCUGGGCUUGACAUAUACAGGAUCGCGCCAGAGAUGGUGUUUCCCUUGUGGCUUGUAUACAGGUGGUGCAUGGUUGUCGUCAGCUCGUGUCGUGAGAUGUUGGGUUAAGUCCCGCAACGAGCGCAACCCUUGUCUUAUGUUGCCAGCACGUUGUGGUGGGGACUCGUAAGAAACUGCCGGGGUUAACUCGGAGGAAGGUGGGGAUGACGUCAAAUCAUCAUGCCCCUUAUGUCCAGGGCUUCACACAUGCUACAAUGGUCGGUACAGUGGGUUGCCAGUCCGUGAGGGCGAGCUAAUCCCGCAAAGCCGGUCUCAGUUCGGAUCGGGGUCUGCAACUCGACCCCGUGAAGUCGGAGUCGCUAGUAAUCGCAGAUCAGCAACGCUGCGGUGAAUACGUUCCCGGGCCU